UCAACCCCUCAAGCCCCGGGCUUGGUGUUGGACCUUUCAGGUGGCGGUGUAACCCAUCCCACCGGUCCCAAAGGCAACGACGGCGUCCGUUGGACCCCCGGUACACUGAGCUUUUUCCAAGGCACGUACCGACGGUGGUCCGCAGACGUGUGUCUCACCCCAUUUUUUUUCAGG
Molecule: unclassified non-coding RNA, 174 nt
Filed under: uncultured Herpotrichiellaceae
Lineage: Eukaryota; Fungi; Ascomycota; Eurotiomycetes; Chaetothyriales; Herpotrichiellaceae
Description: sequence contains ITS2
Source: RNAcentral